UUUUUUAUAGUUGUUGAUUAUGAUGUCUCGGCCUCCUAAUGAAAUAAGAUGAUAUGACUUGUUAUCUCAUUUCGUCUUGAAAUAAAAUGAAAAGCGCACAAGAAAAUUUAGUAAAAAUAUAAAUAAAAGUAAUAGAAUCCCUUUAGAUUUAAUUAAUUUUGCCAAGUAAUAUUCCAGUACAACCAUGUCUAUGCUACGUUUUUUCUUUUUUUCUAAAAUAUUUGUUAUGUUUUUUCCAAACCCUUCCUUCUCCACUCCC
RNAcentral lists this long non-coding RNA (259 nucleotides) under Vigna radiata. RNAcentral describes it as "long non-coding RNA (VRAD_LNC017241)". Lineage: Eukaryota; Viridiplantae; Streptophyta; Magnoliopsida; Fabales; Fabaceae. The record is from RNAcentral.